This 942-nucleotide ribosomal RNA is filed under the name uncultured delta proteobacterium. Its description in RNAcentral is "bacterial SSU rRNA". It matches the Rfam family "Bacterial small subunit ribosomal RNA", at positions 8 to 966 of the family's 1533-position model. Lineage: Bacteria; Deltaproteobacteria. The record is from RNAcentral.
AGAGUUUGAUCCUGGCUCAGGGUGAACGCUGGCGGCGUGCUUGACACAUGCAAGUCGAACGGUAUGUGGCAACACAUAGAGUGGCGAACGGGUGAGUAACACGUGGGAACGUACCCUACGCAGGGGGAUAACUGACCGAAAGGACAGCUAAUACCGCAUAAGACCGAAAGGUGAAAGGUGCAACUGCACCGGCGAAGGAGCGGCCCGCGGACCAUCAGCUAGUUGGUGGGGUAAGAGCCUACCAAGGCAACGACGGAUAGCCGGCGUGAGAGCGUGGCCGGCCACAAGGACACUGAGAUACGGGUCCUACUCCUACGGGAGGCAGCAGUGCGGAAUUUUAGAUAAUGGAGGCAACUCUGAUCUAGCGACGCCGCGUGCAGGAAGAAGGUCUUCGGAUUGUAAACUGCUGUGGUAAGGGAAAAAUGCCAUGUAGAGUGGAAAGCUACAUGGAGGGAUGGUACUUUACUAGAAAGCCCCGGCUAACUACGUGCCAGCAGCCGCGGUAAUACGUAGGGGGCGAGCGUUACCCGGAAUCACUGGGCGUAAAGGGAGCGUAGGUGGCCUGACAUGUCAACUGUGAAAACCCGGAGCUCAACUCCGGACUUGCAGUUGAAACUGCCAGGCUUGAGGACGGUAGAGGAAGACGGAACUGCCAGUGUAGGGGUAAAAUCCUUAGAUAUUGGCAGAACGCCGGUGACGAAAGUGGUUUUCUGGGCCGGUUCUGACACUGAUGCUCGAAAGCCAGGGGAGCGAACGGGAUUAGAUACCCCGGUAGUCCUGGCCCUAAACGAUGUUCACUAGUGUGGGGGAGCGGAAAGCUUUCCGUGCUAAAGCUAACGCAAUAAGUGAACCGCCUGGGGAGUACGCCCGCNNGUGAAACUCANNNAUUGACGGGGGCCGCACAGNGGGUGGAGCGUGGNGUUUAAUUCGAUGCUAGCGAAG